UACGUAGGGUGCGAGCGUUAAUCGGAAUUACUGGGCGUAAAGCGUGCGCAGGCGGUUCGUCGUGUCCGAUGUGAAAGCCCCGGGCUCAACCUGGGAAUGGCAUUGGAAACUGGCGGACUAGAGUGUGGCAGAGGGGGGUGGAAUUCCGCGUGUAGCAGUGAAAUGCGUAGAGAUGCGGAGGAACACCGAUGGCGAAGGCAGCCCCCUGGGCUAACACUGACGCUCAGGCACGAAAGCGUGGGGAGCAAACAGG
Molecule: ribosomal RNA, 253 nt
Filed under: uncultured bacterium
Lineage: Bacteria
Description: partial 16S ribosomal RNA
Rfam family: Bacterial small subunit ribosomal RNA
Source: RNAcentral